GAUGAAAGGAAGGAAAGACCUUGCGAAUGAAAGUAGCAUCUUCCUAAGUAGCAUCUGAUUGGGGUAAGUUAGUCCACUUGAUCAACCACUGGACGACUGGUUCAUUGUUCCUAGGAAUCAUCCGCCUCUCCAAGAUAAUUUCUGGUGCUACUUUGAUAAGCCCUUUGUCAUCCACAAGAGGAUCUCCUUUGCAAUGUCAUUAGGGCAGUCAGGUAGGACUACUUCAACAAUCAUAGGAGGAGGAAAAUCAUAUAAAACCUGGAAUGGUGUCAUAUUUAGAGAAGUGUGAAAAGAAGUGUUGUACCACCAUUCAGCUGAUGAAAGCUAAUAGAACCAUUUUCUAGGAGCAGUAAAACACAUACAUCAGAGAUAAUUUUCUAGACAUUGAUUAACUCUUUCUGUUUGGCCAUAUGUUUGUGGAUGAUAGGCUCAGCUCAAAUGUAACUUGAUACCCAAUGCUUUGAAGAGUGAUUGCCAUAUAGCACUUGUAAAAA
Setaria italica (foxtail millet) is the source of this 494-nucleotide long non-coding RNA. RefSeq lists it as uncharacterized. NCBI's taxonomy places the organism in Eukaryota, Viridiplantae, Streptophyta, Magnoliopsida, Poales, Poaceae. The transcript is spliced from 2 exons. The record is from RefSeq and is a predicted model, not a curated record.